Long non-coding RNA from Bombus terrestris (buff-tailed bumblebee), 2340 nucleotides. RefSeq lists it as uncharacterized. The transcript is spliced from 2 exons. Lineage: Eukaryota; Metazoa; Arthropoda; Insecta; Hymenoptera; Apidae. The record is from RefSeq and is a predicted model, not a curated record.
GUUGACAUAUUCGUUCAGUAGAGAAAUCAAGGCCAUGGAGGGGACCAAAAUGUUUCUCGGAACUUCGGUAGUGAAUGCGCACCAGAUAAUCGGAUCGAUUCGAGGAUUCGAGGAAUUGGUGGCAUGAUCCCGCGGGAAACAGUGACAAGAAACUCGAACGCAGUCACAGACUCAUGACUGGAUGUUUAAAGGCGAUUAGACCCAAUGCAAAUCGGUUCUGGGAACAGCGAUCGUUCUGUAUAUUGUAUUCUAGGCUUGCGUAAGACGAAUAUAGUGUAUACAUGUGCAUCUGACUCAUUGGCAAAUAAAAUCGCGAGCAUGUUCCACACAAUUUAAUAAAAUCGACUGUUCUGCAUAAUAUCCGAUAUUCGAUGUGCAAAACACGACUGAUAACAUAAAUUUGCAUUAAUUGAAAAUACAAUUGAAAUUUAUAACGAACCUACAAAUUGAAAAUGAAUGAUAAUAACAGUUAAUCUAUGUUAUUUGAACACCUAAGAAAAGAGGAUAUGAUAAAAUGGUAAUGUGAAACAUCUGGAACGAUUUCGAUCAUUUGCUGUGAAAACAUGGAUAACGCGUGUAUAAGGAACUUGUUAACUGAUCGAUAAACAUGUUUAAUUAAAUAGUAUUUAGUCAAAGUCUGAUUCAUCAUGGAACUUUCACAGUGAGUUCACGAAAACAUCGAAGCAAACAAAUAAUAUUAUCAUCUUAGAAACUCUACUUGCAUUAUAGAACAUAGAAACUGUAGUUUUUCUAGAACCGCAAGUGUUACGUUAACCUUGGUAUUUGAUUUAUAAUCUACAUAUCCAGAAAGAAAAAAGAAGCUAUUCUGUUUAAAAUCAAAGAUAUAAGAGUAGUAAGUUAUGAGAUUUAAAAGGAAUACUGAUUGAAUAUUCUUGUAGAUGGUAGUUAAUUUAUUUUACAUAUAUUUGAUAUAGCAUAUGAACAAAGAGUUUAAAUUAAUAAUGAUCUAUAAAUCAUUGAUAAAUAGAGGCUGUUAAAAAAGAAGAUCUUUCUUCUUUGUCUUGCAGAUGCAAGUAUCAGUUAAAGGUCAUUGGGACAAUACAGAUUAUUCUGCAAUAUUUUAUUUUCUGCAGACACUUCUGCAUUAUCAUAAAUACUAUACAUUCUAAAUAAAAAUUUAUUUUUAUGUAACCCAAAGAGCUCAACACAAUAAUAUGUAUUAUCUUUUAAAGAAAAAACUUUAUAUGUUUUUGAGAUAUUCUUUAUGAAAAAGAAUCGCUUUCAUAUUAUUCAAAUAUUAGGUCAUGAAGUAUCAAGUGUUAAAAGGAAAAUACAAAAAGUUUUUCAAUCUUUUAUUAUGAAAAAACUCUUAUGUACAUAUGGAUCACUUUUCUCUGUGUCAGUGUAUAAGUAGAUAUCUACGGUCAUAACAAAUAUUAAUCUAUAUCUUUAAUAAAUUCCUUAAAGUAGUUCCUUUCACUCUGUUAAGUCUUGAUUGUUAGCGCCAGAACGACGACUGAUAGGCAAUAAAUAAAUCACGUGUACCCUUGUACCGAUCGUAUUGCACGGUUUCAAUAAGAACAGUCGGCUGAUUGAAUUGCUGAAUUCUAUUUAAAAAAUGUCCAACGAGACGGCUUAAGUAAUAAGUGCAUUUAAGUCACAACUCCACCUUGGCGGAUUGUUGAAAGAAAUCAUGGACUCUUUCACUGGCAGAAUAUUUCAUCUUUUAAGCUUCUUACUAAUUGCUCAUGUUCCACGAAAAUCUGAUAAUCGAAUGAUUGAUAUACUACUUUAGAAAGGAACAAAUAGGAAGUAUUCUCUUGGAAUUCCAUAAGUAUGUAAAAACAUUUAACACUCUAAGUUGUUAAUUAGUUACCUACAUCCUACAUACUUAAACACAUGAUACAGGACAGAACAUUUUGUUUUUGUUAACACAGAUUAAUUGCAAAAUAAAUGAAUUCACUAUAUUAGGAGACUCUAACUUUGUAGAGUCUGUUAAAUAGAUUAGAUUUAAUAGACAAGGAAUUUUCCUACAGAAAUGCCUCAACAAAUACUUAUAAAUCAAUACAGUAAUCAUUCUAAUACUACUGUGACAUUUAUCACAAAAUUUUACUGUUUGUCAAAUACAUAAACACUGUAUAAUUAAAUGAACAAGGUGUUUCUUUCCCUGUUCCAUCUGCCAAUGAAAGAAUGAAUCUCUGAAAGAGGCUUUUCUUUCCAUGGAAACUUUAUAUAAUUCGCGUCUUUUUUACCUUAGAAUUAGCUCUAGAAAAAUACAGUCUGUUUUUUUUUCUAUUCACACACUGCUCGAACCAAACAACGAGCUUCUGAAUAAAAAUACAAUCUACUCAUGUUGGUUGGGCAGUGGCUGUUAAAUAG